Molecule: ribosomal RNA, 550 nt
Filed under: uncultured bacterium
Lineage: Bacteria
Description: bacterial SSU rRNA
Rfam family: Bacterial small subunit ribosomal RNA
Source: RNAcentral
CUUACACAUGCAAGUCGAACGCGUGUAGCAAUACACGAGUGGCGCACGGGUGAGUAACACGUGGAUUAUCUGCCUUUUGGUUCGGAAUAACCCCGGGAAACUGGGGCUAAUACCGGAUGGUUCCUACGGGAUAAAGAUUUAUCGCCAAAAGAUGAGUCCGCGCCCGAUUAGCUAGUUGGCGGGGUAAUGGCCCACCAAGGCAACGAUCGGUAGCUGGUCUGAGAGGACGAUCAGCCACACUGGGACUGAGACACGGCCCAGACUCCUACGGGAGGCAGCAGUGGGGAAUAUUGGACAAUGGGGGCAACCCUGAUCCAGCCAUGCCGCGUGAGUGAUGAAGGCCUUCGGGUUGUAAAGCUCUUUUGGCGGGGACGAUGAUGACGGUACCCGCAGAAUAAGCCCCGGCUAACUUCGUGCCAGCAGCCGCGGUAAGACGAAGGGGGCUAGCGUUGUUCGGAAUUACUGGGCGUAAAGCGCGUGUANGCGGCUGCCAAAGUCGGGUGUGAAAGCCUUGAGCUCAACUCAAGAAAUGCACUCGAUACUUGGUGGC